Long non-coding RNA from Daktulosphaira vitifoliae (grape phylloxera), 245 nucleotides. RefSeq lists it as uncharacterized. The record is from RefSeq and is a predicted model, not a curated record. Lineage: Eukaryota; Metazoa; Arthropoda; Insecta; Hemiptera; Phylloxeridae. The transcript is spliced from 5 exons.
UUCUUAAUGUUUACGUAUUUCUAUGGCUUCUUAAUUUUACACAUUUCUAUGGCUUCUUAAUGUUUACGUAUUUCUAUGGCUUCUUAAUUUUACACAUUUCUAUGGCUUCUUAAUGUUUACGUAUUUCUAUGGCUUCUUAAUUUUACACAUUUCUAUGGCUUCUUAAUGUUUACGUAUUUCUAUGGCUUCUUAAUUUUACACAUUUCUAUGGCUUCUUAAUGUUUACGUAUUUCUAUGGCUUCUUA